Molecule: ribosomal RNA, 160 nt
Filed under: Vibrio parahaemolyticus
Lineage: Bacteria; Pseudomonadati; Pseudomonadota; Gammaproteobacteria; Vibrionales; Vibrionaceae
Description: partial 16S ribosomal RNA
Rfam family: Bacterial small subunit ribosomal RNA
Source: RNAcentral
UGGGGAAUAUUGCACAAUGGGCGCAAGCCUGAUGCAGCCAUGCCGCGUGUGUGAAGAAGGCCUUCGGGUUGUAAAGCACUUUCAGUCGUGAGGAAGGUGGUAGUGUUAAUAGCACUAUCAUUUGACGUUAGCGACAGAAGAAGCACCGGCUAACUCCGUG